AACGAACGCUGGCGGCAGGCUUAACACAUGCAAGUCGAACGCCCCGCAAGGGGAGUGGCAGACGGGUGAGUAACACGUGGGAACAUGCCCAAAGGUACGGAAUAUUCUCGGGAAACUGAGAGCAAUACCGUAUGUGCCCGAAAGGGGAAAGAUUUAUCGCCUUUGGAUUGGCCCGCGUCGGAUUAGCUAGUUGGUGGGGUAAAAGCCUACCAAGGCGACGAUCCGUAGCUGGUCUGAGAGGACGACCAGCCACACUGGGACUGAGACACGGCCCAGACUCCUACGGGAGGCAGCAGUGGGGAAUCUUGGACAAUGGGCGCAAGCCUGAUCCAGCCAUGCCGCGUGGAUGAUGAAGGCCCUAGGGUUGUAAAAUCCCUUCGUUGGGGACGAUAAUGACGGUACCCAAAGAAGAAGCUCCGGCUAACUUCGUG
Molecule: ribosomal RNA, 431 nt
Filed under: uncultured bacterium
Lineage: Bacteria
Description: partial 16S ribosomal RNA
Rfam family: Bacterial small subunit ribosomal RNA
Source: RNAcentral